This 75-nucleotide transfer RNA is filed under the name archaeon ADurb.Bin336. RNAcentral's name for it is "tRNA-Gln". It matches the Rfam family "tRNA". Rfam says of the family: Transfer RNA (tRNA) molecules are approximately 80 nucleotides in length. The record is from RNAcentral.
UAGCCUCUUCGUCCAGCGGCCAAGGAUAGCGCCCUCUGGAGGCGCAGACCCCAGUUCGAAUCUGGGAGAGGCUAU